This is a small nuclear RNA of Monodelphis domestica (gray short-tailed opossum), 107 nucleotides long. NCBI's taxonomy places the organism in Eukaryota, Metazoa, Chordata, Mammalia, Didelphimorphia, Didelphidae. The record is from Ensembl.
GUGCUUGCUUUGGCAGCACAUAUACUAAAAUUGGAAUGAUACAGAGAUGAUUAUCAUGACCCCUGUGCAAGGAUGACCCACAAAUACAUGAAACAUUCCAUAUUUUA